GUCGAAAGCAACUCUGUCCUCACAACGAUAAGGACGAAUGUGAUGAUGACUGUCCAUAUAGACAUGGCCGCCUUUGCCAUCUGUGCCUUACACUUAGAUUAAAUCCAUAUAAUCCAGAAUUACAUGCUGAUGCUUGCUUAGAACAACAUGAGAAACAAAGUGAAGAAAUGGAAUGCAACAUUUGUAUGGAAAAAGUCACUGAGCUGGAAAUUCAUAGUCGCUUCGGUAUCCUAGAGAAUUGUAACCACUGUUUUUGUUUAAAUUGUUUAUUUGAAUGGAGGCAGAAUAAAACAAUGGCUAACCAUAGAGCUUGCCCAGUCUGUCGGAUUCACUCCAGAUUUGCAAUAGGCACCAAAUAUUGGAUCACAUGUUCACUAUCAAAAAAGAAGCUUAUUG
Long non-coding RNA from Biomphalaria glabrata, 396 nucleotides. RefSeq lists it as uncharacterized. The record is from RefSeq and is a predicted model, not a curated record. The transcript has 3 exons. Lineage: Eukaryota; Metazoa; Mollusca; Gastropoda; Planorbidae.